This 633-nucleotide long non-coding RNA is filed under the name Homo sapiens (human). RNAcentral describes it as "HSALNT0231346". Lineage: Eukaryota; Metazoa; Chordata; Mammalia; Primates; Hominidae. The record is from RNAcentral.
CCUCACUUUGCUUAUGAAGUGAAGCUGCGGUUCAAAACAAACAUCAAGUUACUAGAUGUCUUCCUGCUAUAAUUGGAUUUAAUUCAUUAUCUUUCAUUUCAAUAAAAUCACAGGAAAACACAGGGAUGUAAAUGUGUAGGCUAAUUGCUUAUGGAAAUUCAGGUGCCGCGCUUGGUAUAAAUUUACCCUUUGCAAGAGGAAGACACAGUUGUGUCAUUAUCAUAGAAUUUUACAACAAUAUGUAAUUAUAGAGAGAAGCAGGUGUAAUUAGCAAGUCUUUCCACAAAGCAGGUAGCAUUCCUGGUUAAAUAUUUACAGCUGCACAAACAGCCGGUAAUAAUGAGAGUUUUCUCAGCCUCACGUUACAGAGCACCCAACGAAUACUAUGAAAAGUGGUCAUUAUCAGCCCGGCAAACACUGCUGUGCCGUCUUGCUUGCGAGGAAUGCUGCUGCAUGGGUUUCAAGACAAGAAUCCAGGCUGAAUCAGCAGUGCGGUUUCAACAGUGAUGAGAACAAGAAACCCACAGCAAACUGCGUAAAUGCCGCAGGCACGCAAGCCGACUCCAAACCGCCUACCAAGGGUCAGCUCUACCUGCAGCUGUUGCACAAAAUAAAAUCAACGCAGCCCACCCC